Molecule: ribosomal RNA, 421 nt
Filed under: Paenibacillus glucanolyticus
Lineage: Bacteria; Bacillati; Bacillota; Bacilli; Caryophanales; Paenibacillaceae
Description: bacterial SSU rRNA
Rfam family: Bacterial small subunit ribosomal RNA
Source: RNAcentral
CCUACGGGGGGCUGCAGUAGGGAAUCUUCCGCAAUGGGCGAAAGCCUGACGGAGCAACGCCGCGUGAGUGAUGAAGGUUUUCGGAUCGUAAAGCUCUGUUGCCAAGGAAGAACGUCUCAUAGAGUAACUGCUAUGAGAGUGACGGUACUUGAGAAGAAAGCCCCGGCUAACUACGUGCCAGCAGCCGCGGUAAUACGUAGGGGGCAAGCGUUGUCCGGAAUUAUUGGGCGUAAAGCGCGCGCAGGCGGUUCUUUAAGUCUGGUGUUUAAACCUGGGGCUCAACUUCAGGUCGCACUGGAAACUGGGGAACUUGAGUGCAGAAGAGGAGAGUGGAAUUCCACGUGUAGCGGUGAAAUGCGUAGAUAUGUGGAGGAACACCAGUGGCGAAGGCGACUCUCUGGGCUGUAACUGACGCUGAGCG